AGUGAACGCUGGCGGUAGGCCUAACACAUGCAAGUCGAACGGCAGCACAGGGGAGCUUGCUCUCUGGGUGGCGAGUGGCGGACGGGUGAGGAAUACAUAGGAAUCUGCCCAGUCGUGGGGGAUAACGUAGGGAAACUUACGCUACUACCGCAUACGACCUUCGGGUGAAAGAGGGGGAUCGCAAGACCUCUCGCGAGUGGAUGAGCCGAGGUCGGCUUCGCUAGUUGGCGGGGUAAUGGCCCACAAGGGCGACGAGCCGUAGCUGGUCUGAGAGGAUGAUCAGCCACACUGGAACUGAGACACGGUCCAGACUCCUACGGGAGGCAGCAGUGGGGAAUAUUGGACAAUGGGCGCAAGCCUGAUCCAGCCAUACCGCGUGGGUGAAGGAGGCCUUCGGGUUGUAAAGCCCUUUUGUUGGGAAAGAAAUCUUUCAGGCUAAUACCCUGGGAGGAUGACGGUACCCAAAGAAUAAGCACCGGCUAACUUCGUG
Molecule: ribosomal RNA, 490 nt
Filed under: uncultured bacterium
Lineage: Bacteria
Description: partial 16S ribosomal RNA
Rfam family: Bacterial small subunit ribosomal RNA
Source: RNAcentral